RNAcentral lists this ribosomal RNA (472 nucleotides) under uncultured bacterium. RNAcentral's name for it is "bacterial SSU rRNA". It matches the Rfam family "Bacterial small subunit ribosomal RNA", at positions 355 to 825 of the family's 1533-position model. The record is from RNAcentral.
UGAGGAAUUAUGCGCAAUGGACGAAAGUCUGACGCUGCGACGUCGCGUGGGUGAUGAAGGUCUUCGGAUCGUAAAACCCUGUCGAGAGGGAAGAAAGAGCGGGCGCUAAUAUCGCCUACUUCUGACGGUACCUCUGGAGGAAGCCCCGGCUAACUCUGUGCCAGCAGCCGCGGUAAUACAGAGGGUGCGAGCGUUGUCCGGAAUCACUGGGCGUAAAGGGCGCGUAGGCGGCCCGGUAAGUAGGGGGUGAAAUCUCAUGGCUCAACUGUGAGGCUGCCUUCUAGACUGCCAGGCUUGAGCACAGUAGAGGCGAGUGGAAUUCCCGGUGUAGCGGUGGAAUGCGUAGAGAUCGGGAAGAACAUCGGUGGCGAAGGCGGCUCGCUGGGCUGUUGCUGACGCUGAGGCGCGAAAGCGUGGGGAGCAAACAGGAUUAGAUACCCCGGUAGUCCCUGAGCGGGCUGGCAAGGCGCAU